ACUGGCGUAAAGAGCUCGUAGGCGGUUUGUCGCGUCUGCUGUGAAAAUCCGAGGCUCAACCUCGGACUUGCAGUGGGUACGGGCAGACUAGAGUGUGGUAGGGGAGACUGGAAUUCCUGGUGUAGCGGUGGAAUGCGCAGAUAUCAGGAGGAACACCAAUGGCGAAGGCAGGUCUCUGGGCCACAACUGACGCUGAGGAGCGAAAGCAUGGGGAGCGAACAGGAUUAGAUACCCUGGUAGUCCAUGCCGUAAACGGUGGGCACUAGAUGUGGGGCUCUUUCCAUGAGUUCCGCGUCGCAGCUAACGCAUUAAGUGCCCCGCCUGGGGAGUACGGCCGCAAGGCUAAAACUCAAAUGAAUUGACGG
Molecule: ribosomal RNA, 365 nt
Filed under: uncultured bacterium
Lineage: Bacteria
Description: bacterial SSU rRNA
Rfam family: Bacterial small subunit ribosomal RNA
Source: RNAcentral